Molecule: ribosomal RNA, 106 nt
Filed under: Citrobacter freundii
Lineage: Bacteria; Pseudomonadati; Pseudomonadota; Gammaproteobacteria; Enterobacterales; Enterobacteriaceae
Also listed under: 13 other names
Source: RNAcentral
GUAGCGCGGUGGUCCCACCUGACCCCAUGCCGAACUCAGAAGUGAAACGCCGUAGCGCCGAUGGUAGUGUGGGGUCUCCCCAUGCGAGAGUAGGGAACUGCCAGAC